AUUGAACGCUGGCGGCAUGCUUUACACAUGCAAGUCGAGCGGCAGCGCGGGGGCAACCCUGGCGGCGAGCGGCGAACGGGUGAGUAAUGCAUCGGAACGUAUCCUCGAGUGGGGGAUAACCCAGCGAAAGUUGGGCUAAUACCGCAUGAGCUCUGAGGAGGAAAGCGGGGGACCUGCGAGGGCCUCGCGCUGGAGGAGCGGCCGAUGUCCGAUUAGCUAGUUGGUGGGGUAAAGGCUUACCAAGGCGACGAUCGGUAGCUGGUCUGAGAGGAUGAUCAGCCACACUGGGCCUCAGAAACGGCCCACACUCGUACGGGGGGCAAGAGUGGGGAAUUUUGGGCUAUGGGGACAAGCCUGAACAAGCCAUGGCGCGGGGGUGAAGAAGACCUUCGGGUUGUAAGGCUCUGUGGGACGGAAAGAAAAGGGCGGAAAUAAUGGACCUGCAUGAUCACGGUACCAUAAGAAGAAGCCACGGCUAACGACAUA
RNAcentral lists this ribosomal RNA (486 nucleotides) under uncultured bacterium. RNAcentral's name for it is "partial 16S ribosomal RNA". It matches the Rfam family "Bacterial small subunit ribosomal RNA", at positions 29 to 507 of the family's 1533-position model. The record is from RNAcentral.